This 253-nucleotide ribosomal RNA is filed under the name uncultured bacterium. RNAcentral's name for it is "partial 16S ribosomal RNA". It matches the Rfam family "Bacterial small subunit ribosomal RNA", at positions 524 to 776 of the family's 1533-position model. The record is from RNAcentral.
UACGUAGGUGGCAAGCGUUGUCCGGAUUUACUGGGCGUAAAGGGCGUGCAGGCGGUUUGUUAAGUGCAGGGUGAAAGCUCCCGGCUCAACUGGGAGAGGUCCUUGCAUACUGGCAGACUUGAGGGAGGCAGAGGAAAGUGGAAUUCCCGGUGUAGUGGUGAUAUGCGUAGAUAUCGGGAGGAACACCGGUGGCGAAGGCGGCGAUCUGGGUAGAUACUGACGCUGAGGUGCGAAAGCGUGGGGAGCAAACAGG